This 253-nucleotide ribosomal RNA is filed under the name uncultured bacterium. RNAcentral's name for it is "partial 16S ribosomal RNA". It matches the Rfam family "Bacterial small subunit ribosomal RNA", at positions 524 to 776 of the family's 1533-position model. The record is from RNAcentral.
UACGAAGGGGGCUAGCGAUGUUCGGAAUUACUGGGCGUAAAGCGCACGUAGGCGGAUCUGUAAGUUGGGGGUGAAAUCCCGGGGCCUAACCCCGGAAUUGCCUUCAAAACUGCUGGUCUGGAGGUCAGGAGAGGCGAGCGGAAUUCCGAGUGUAGAGGUGAAAUUCGUAGAUAUUCGGAGGAAAACCAGUGGCGAAGGCGGCUCGCUGGACUGAUACUGACGCUGAGUUGCGAAAGCGUGGGGAGCAAACAGG